RNAcentral lists this ribosomal RNA (192 nucleotides) under Triticum aestivum (bread wheat). RNAcentral's name for it is "partial small subunit ribosomal RNA". The record is from RNAcentral. Lineage: Eukaryota; Viridiplantae; Streptophyta; Magnoliopsida; Poales; Poaceae.
AUGGGGCUUUGGACCUUUAAUCAGGCAUUAGCACGCCGAGAGCUUAUGAGGAUGAUAGUCUUGCAUGAAUUGGCAUUCUCAUUGGUGGAGUAUGAUGGAUUUAGAAGAUUUGUCUCUAGUCUAAAUCCUAGCUUUAAGAUGAUAUGUAGAAAAACAGUGAAGGAGGACUGCAUGAAAGCAUUUAAGGAAGAG